Molecule: long non-coding RNA, 1520 nt
Organism: Vidua chalybeata
Lineage: Eukaryota; Metazoa; Chordata; Aves; Passeriformes; Viduidae
Exons: 4
Source: RefSeq, a predicted model, not a curated record
AUGAAGACCCAUCUCUACCUUCUCCUGCUGGCUGCAGGCAUCUCUGCUGCUCCCCAGAUGAGCAGCAUGGCUGAAUUACUGACACUACUACAGCAAAUGUGUGAAGUGAUGACAAAGGACAUUCAGAAUCUGAGGAUUGAAACUCCCAACAAUAUAGAUGAUGUGAAUUGUAUCAGCACAAUCUUCGAAGGAAUGGAACAGCUGAAAAAUAAUCCAGCUAUGAAAAAAUUCAGUGCUUUUUUCCAGAAUUUUGAAAAACUGAAGCAAUGGCUCAUACCAAACAUGGCAAAAGAGGGGAAAUGUGAUACAGAAAGAAGGAGCACAACAAUAUUUAUAAAAAAGCUGAUGACAUUCAUCCGAAAAGUGUUAAAAAACACAAGACGGGAGAAUUAGAAGUUUCUAAAAUUGCUGUAAAUUUAUAUGAGCAGUAAAAUCUUUCCUUAUUUAAGAAGUGUUCCUCCUUUGCGUCAAAAUUUGGCAGGGCACACCUUCAGUGUCAGUGGUACUGCACUGGUUCGUGUUUGGCAUCUCAAAGUAUUUGGUGGCAAAAUGGCAUUUGUACUUUGAGACAAACAUUUAAAUGCUUGAAAAACCAAAUCAUGCAGGCGAUUACAGAAGGACCUGACUAGGCAUAAAAUCUCUGUUUCUCAUGAAGAGUUAAUUUCUGAGUCACAGGGAGACCGAGUAGGGGUGGGUGUGAGCAGGAGCAGCUGGCUCACAGCACACCCCUCAUCCGACCACACCUGGCCCCCAGGCCUCGCUGUGCCAUCAGCACCGAGUGAGAGAUGAUACAGGAUGUGGAUGUUGUCCCCUUUGCCCUGCCUGGAAACCAGACUGGGCCAGUGCAGGGGGAACAGCAACAUGGGACACUCAGAAUGCCCUUCUAACUUUGAAGUUUAAGGUCAGGUUUCUACUGGAAUGUUUUACUGCUCUCACAUAACCUCCAUAUUCCAUAAGCACUGAGAAACACAUCCUGGGGUUUUACUCUUACCUGCAGCUUUGGUACACCAGUGUAAAAUUGACAACUAAAGAUGUGUAAGGAUCUAAACAUACAGCACUUAGAGAAUUAAUGGGUUUUUUGUAAUGUUAAUGGAUAGGAGUAUUUAGAACAGUACACAUUUAUUUAUAUUGUUUCAAUUAAGUUAUAUUUUAUAGACAAAAGGGUUUUGGAGAAAAUAUUUAUUCUGUAUUUUUACUAAUUUUAAUUAAGUGAAUAAUUGUUUGUCUCUGCCUUUCUCCCUUCUCUUAUCCCUCCAAUUUCUUCCAAGCUAUUCAGGAAAUCUAGUUAUCAGUCAGGGGAAUUAGAUCCUUGAGGUGAGUGAGCAAAUGUAUUACUGAAAGCUAUUUCCAAUUAUACAUGAGUUAAAAACCAGAGAGUCCAUUAAGGUACCCACCUCUGCAACAGAGCUGAGCUCACACGUUCCCUCUGGGUCCCUGGACGAUGUUUGCUUUUCUUUUUUUCCCUAUUAAUAGCCCAGCAUAAAUUAAUUUAUUUAAAAAUAGAUAUAUAGGAGAAAGAA